GAGUCCGGAGAAGGCAGAGCAUCCGGGCCCACCGGUCAGCCAGAGCAGGACGGGGUCCUCUUCCGGGCUCCUCUCCGACUCGAUGAAGUAGUAGAAGAAUCGAGCCUCGCCAACCGCCACGGCAGGGGGCCAGCGAACCCGGGCAGGCGAUCCACCGCCUUCCUGCUGCUGCUCAUGGCCGCCGGCGACGCCGCAGCCACGGCGGCGGAGCUGCAGGAGCAGAGCAGCAGCAGCAGCAGCAAGCAGCACUGCUCUAGCCUGGUCGCCAUGGCUAGCUAG
Molecule: long non-coding RNA, 279 nt
Filed under: Oryza sativa Indica Group (long-grained rice)
Lineage: Eukaryota; Viridiplantae; Streptophyta; Magnoliopsida; Poales; Poaceae
Also listed under: 1 other name
Description: lncRNA OsLima_04g0002940
Source: RNAcentral